AUAAAACCCAGAAGGUGGUCAUCUGUCGUAGAAACUUGGAUGGAGCCCAUCCGUCAUGGAGAUCUGCUGUUAGGAAAGUUCGGCCACUGACGAACUAACGUAGUUCUGGAAGAAAUUCAAAUUGGAGUCGAUCGACUCCUGUCGGAAAAGAUCCGAAAGGGGUCUGGAGAACGAUUGACCCUUGUAGGAGGUCGGCCGAU
Molecule: long non-coding RNA, 200 nt
Filed under: Elaeis guineensis (African oil palm)
Lineage: Eukaryota; Viridiplantae; Streptophyta; Magnoliopsida; Arecales; Arecaceae
Description: long non-coding RNA (EGUI_LNC036909)
Source: RNAcentral